UUUAAAUUUAGAGUUUGAUCCUGGCUCAGGACGAACGCUGGCGGCGUGCUUAACACAUGCAAGUCGAGCGAUGAAGCUUCCUUCGGGAAGUGGAUUAGCGGCGGACGGGUGAGUAACACGUGGGUAACCUGCCUCAAAGUGGGGGAUAGCCUUCCGAAAGGAAGAUUAAUACCGCAUAAUAUAAGAGAAUCGCAUGAUUUUCUUAUCAAAGAUUUAUUGCUUUGAGAUGGACCCGCGGCGCAUUAGCUAGUUGGUAAGGUAACGGCUUACCAAGGCAACGAUGCGUAGCCGACCUGAGAGGGUGAUCGGCCACAUUGGAACUGAGACACGGUCCAGACUCCUACGGGAGGCAGCAGUGGGGAAUAUUGCGCAAUGGGGGAAACCCUGACGCAGCAACGCCGCGUGGGUGAUGAAGGUCUUCGGAUUGUAAAGCCCUGUUUUCUAGGACGAUAAUGACGGUACUAGAGGAGGAAGCCACGGCUAACUACGUGCCAGCAGCCGCGGUAAUACGUAGGUGGCGAGCGUUGUCCGGAUUUACUGGGCGUAAAGGGUGCGUAGGCGGAUGUUUAAGUGGGAUGUGAAAUCCCCGGGCUUAACCUGGGGGCUGCAUUCCAAACUGGAUAUCUAGAGUGCAGGAGAGGAAAGCGGAAUUCCUAGUGUAGCGGUGAAAUGCGUAGAGAUUAGGAAGAACACCAGUGGCGAAGGCGGCUUUCUGGACUGUAACUGACGCUGAGGCACGAAAGCGUGGGUAGCAAACAGGAUUAGAUACCCUGGUAGUCCACGCCGUAAACGAUGGAUACUAGGUGUAGGGGGUAUCAACUCCCCCUGUGCCGCAGUUAACACAAUAAGUAUCCCGCCUGGGGAGUACGGUCGCAAGAUUAAAACUCAAAGGAAUUGACGGGGGCCCGCACAAGCAGCGGAGCAUGUGGUUUAAUUCGAAGCAACGCGAAGAACCUUACCUGGACUUGACAUCCCUUGCAUAGCCUAGAGAUAGGUGAAGCCCUUCGGGGCAAGGAGACAGGUGGUGCAUGGUUGUCGUCAGCUCGUGUCGUGAGAUGUUAGGUUAAGUCCUGCAACGAGCGCAACCCUUGUUAUUAGUUGCUACCAUUAAGUUGAGCACUCUAAUGAGACUGCCUGGGUAACCAGGAGGAAGGUGGGGAUGACGUCAAAUCAUCAUGCCCCUUAUGUCCAGGGCUACACACGUGCUACAAUGGUAGGUACAAUAAGA
RNAcentral lists this ribosomal RNA (1228 nucleotides) under Clostridium botulinum. Its description in RNAcentral is "bacterial SSU rRNA". It matches the Rfam family "Bacterial small subunit ribosomal RNA", at positions 1 to 1247 of the family's 1533-position model. The record is from RNAcentral. Lineage: Bacteria; Bacillati; Bacillota; Clostridia; Eubacteriales; Clostridiaceae.